GGCGGAAUAGCUCAGUUGGCUAGAGCGCUCGGUUCAUACCCGAAAGGUCGUGGGUUCAAAUCCAACUUCCGCUACCA
RNAcentral lists this transfer RNA (77 nucleotides) under Clostridia bacterium. RNAcentral describes it as "tRNA-Met". It matches the Rfam family "tRNA". Rfam says of the family: Transfer RNA (tRNA) molecules are approximately 80 nucleotides in length. Lineage: Bacteria; Bacillati; Bacillota; Clostridia. The record is from RNAcentral. RNAcentral also lists the same sequence under 1 other name.